GGCCAUUAAGUCAAGUGGGGCAUGCAGUGCAGGGUGGUGGUCAGUGGUCACACCAAAGGGGCUCAAAUCUGGCAGUGGUCUCAUGGUCUUUGGCAAUGGCUCCCAUGGAAGAUUGCCUGUUUCAAGCUAGAAGCUAUAGCUCCUUCAAGUUGUGCAGGUAAUUCUGGGUACCAAACGAUAGGACAUGUUCAGAAAGUCUAUUAUGAGGGGUCAGUCUUUUGUCUGUUUGGCUUCAAUUUGAAACGGCUGUUCCCUUUUGCCCUGUCUCAUGCAGUUUCUUUAAAUGUAAUCCAUGUUUCUACCAGGUCCAUGAGUAACCCACCAGUGGCUUAAGAAGUGGCAGAAUGCUAGCAACUAUGGACUUGUAUAUAAGUAAAGAAUGAGAUUGGAUAGACGGAACA
Molecule: long non-coding RNA, 401 nt
Filed under: Brachypodium distachyon (stiff brome)
Lineage: Eukaryota; Viridiplantae; Streptophyta; Magnoliopsida; Poales; Poaceae
Description: long non-coding RNA (BDIS_LNC002821)
Source: RNAcentral